Molecule: ribosomal RNA, 301 nt
Filed under: uncultured bacterium
Lineage: Bacteria
Description: partial 16S ribosomal RNA
Rfam family: Bacterial small subunit ribosomal RNA
Source: RNAcentral
CAGUCGCCGCGGGAAUACGUAGGGUGCGAGCGUUAAUCGGAAUUACUGGGCGUAAAGCGUGCGCAGGCGGUUUUGUAAGACAGAGGUGAAAUCCCCGGGCUCAACCUGGGAACUGCCUUUGUGACUGCAAGGCUAGAGUACGGCAGAGGGGGAUGUAAUUCCGCGUGUAGCAGUGAAAUGCGUAGAUAUGCGGAGGAACACCGAUGGCGAAGGCAAUCCCCUGGGCCUGUACUGACGCUCAUGCACGAAAGCGUGGGGAGCAAACAGGAUUAGAUACCCCCGUAGUCCCUGUCUCUUAUAA